GGCCUACGGGUGGCUGCAGUGGGGAAUAUUGGACAAUGGGCGCAAGCCUGAUCCAGCCAUGCCGCGUGAGUGAUGAAGGCCCUAGGGUUGUAAAGCUCUUUCACCGGUGAAGAUAAUGACGGUAACCGGAGAAGAAGCCCCGGCUAACUUCGUGCCAGCAGCCGCGGUAAUACGAAGGGGGCUAGCGUUGUUCGGAAUUACUGGGCGUAAAGCGCACGUAGGCGGAUAUUUAAGUCAGGGGUGAAAUCCCGGGGCUCAACCCCGGAACUGCCUGUGAUACUGGGUAUCUAGAGUCCAGAAGAGGUGAGUGGAAUUCCGAGUGUAGAGGUGAAAUUCGUAGAUAUUCGGAGGAACACCAGUGGCGAAGGCGGCUCACUGGUCUGGUACUGACGCUGAGGUGCGAAAGCGUGGGGAGCAAACAGGAUUAGAUACCCCAGUAGUC
This 442-nucleotide ribosomal RNA is filed under the name uncultured Rhizobiaceae bacterium. RNAcentral describes it as "bacterial SSU rRNA". It matches the Rfam family "Bacterial small subunit ribosomal RNA", at positions 335 to 795 of the family's 1533-position model. The record is from RNAcentral. Lineage: Bacteria; Pseudomonadati; Pseudomonadota; Alphaproteobacteria; Hyphomicrobiales; Rhizobiaceae.